GAGAAAUUAGCUCAAUGGUAGAGCAACCACUUUACACGUGGUUGGUUAAGUGUUCAAGUCACUUAUUUCUUA
Non-coding RNA from Myotisia sp. PD_48, 72 nucleotides. The record is from the annotation of a GenBank genome assembly. NCBI's taxonomy places the organism in Eukaryota, Fungi, Ascomycota, Eurotiomycetes, Onygenales.